Molecule: long non-coding RNA, 1403 nt
Organism: Vigna unguiculata (cowpea)
Lineage: Eukaryota; Viridiplantae; Streptophyta; Magnoliopsida; Fabales; Fabaceae
Source: RefSeq, a predicted model, not a curated record
UGCAAAUACUAUUUUGGGUUUUCACAAGUUCUUCCCAGUUGAAGCUUUGGCGGAAAAAAAAUCUAUGGCCCUUUUUCUCUGCAAAUUGAUUCAGUCUCCCUUUCAUUGAUGGGGUGGUGCACAAUGUGCUUCACUUGUUGCUGGAAAGACCACCCUGUCAAUGCAAAAUGCAAUGGUAGUGGUGGCCGCAAUUAAGGUAUCAUGUCCAUGUGAAGUGAUACAAUUCAUGAUUUUAAACCUUGGAUCACAUUCACAGUUGUGGAAUCGUGUUGGAUGAAGGAACUUGAGUAAGAUUUACAGUGGCAGAACAUGAAAUAUCCUUCUGAAACUUUUGAAGACACAAUAUCAUGUUCGAGAAGUAGGAUCUUAUCUUCUUCAAUUGGAAAUGGUUCAAACUUGCUUUUAUUAAUGGAAAUAAUUGAUUCAUAUUCUUGCAGUAGUCCUUCAGGAACAACAUCCAUGUGUUCUUGAAGCAAAACCGGGUCUUUAAUAGAGGCGGGACAAUCAACAAGGGCUUUGAUGCAGAGAAGAAAAUCUGACAUAGAUCAAUCUUCAAGAAUCAUCUAUCUAAGCUCAAUGCAAAGCUGCAUCACUCCUGGUCUUGUUUAUCUGUGAAAAUAUUCAUGGAUCUUAUCCCAUUCUUGAGAGGAAUGAACACAUCCAUGUAUGUGAGAGACAAUGUAUGCUGGAUUAAUACUUACCAGAAUCACAAUUGGCUUUGACGAGAAAAUGAAGCAGAAUAAUAGGAUUCACUACUACACAUAACUGUGCUAACAGACGCAAUCACUUUUGUACUGUUCAGUCUAUAAUACACAAAUAUAUUUUCUCUCCAAUAUUGUAUCAAUUAUAUAGGUGUUAUAGCAAAAGUAGCUAGUGCAGGGAUCCUCAGCAAAAGAUGAUCUACAAUCUCUCCUGGUGCUGCAGUUAAAGUCUCAUAAGGAAGUACAUCUAUUGCUUCUUACUGAACCAUUUCAUGAGGUUUACUUCCCACUACCUUUGUUCUAUCAACAGGUGGAGAAUCUUAAAGACAUUGGGAGACUGCAAUGGAGACUGCAAUAAGUGCCUUCUAUCUCAAUGAUUUCAUUGGAAGCUGAGGAUUUGGCAAUUCGUUUUCUUCAUGGAUACACAGCAGUUCCUGUGUGAAAAGGCAUUUCUGAUAUUCUCAAUUUGUGGUUAUUUAGUGUAUCUUUUUGGAAACGUGGAAUGAAAUGUUCCAAUCGUUAUUGGUCAUUGGUUGCCUCUUCAGUUCAUUCAGAUUGAGCAGCUCAGCUAGCUUCUUUGUACUGUUUUGUUAAUGUUCUUUUUAGGAGGUAUCUUUUGCUAGAUCUUCAGCAACGUUGACAUGCAGGGUUGCAUGUUCCUUUGUUAGCAAUUUUUGCAUUUUGGUAUGUUUCCUGUGGAUU